This is a non-coding RNA of Phrynosoma platyrhinos (Desert horned lizard), 66 nucleotides long. Lineage: Eukaryota; Metazoa; Chordata; Lepidosauria; Squamata; Phrynosomatidae. The record is from the annotation of a GenBank genome assembly.
GAUCAUAGCAUAGUGGUUUGAGUGCUGGACUAUGACUCUGGAGACCAGGGUUUGAUUCCCUGCUCA